GAUGAACGCUGGCGGCGUGCCUAAUACAUGCAAGUCGAGCGAACAGACGAGGAGCUUGCUCCUCGGACGUUAGCGGCGGACGGGUGAGUAACACGUGGAUAACCUACCUAUAAGACUGGGAUAACUUCGGGAAACCGGAGCUAAUACCGGAUAAUAUAUUGAACCGCAUGGGUCAAUAGUGAAAUACGGUUUUGCUGUCACGUAUAGAUGGAUCCGCGCCGCAUUAGCUAGUUGGUAAGGUAACGGCUUACCAAGGCAACGAUGCGUAGCCGACCUGAGAGGGUGAUCGGCCACACUGGAACUGAGACACGGUCCGGGCUCCUACGGGAGGCAGCAGUAGGGAAUCUUCCGCAAUGGGCGAAAGCCUGACGGAGCAACGCCGCGUGAGUGAUGAAGGUCUUCGGAUCGUAAAACUCUGUUAUUAGGGAAGAACAAAUGUGUAAGUAACUAUGCACGUCUUGACGGUACCUAAUCAGAAAGCCACGGCUAACUACGUG
Molecule: ribosomal RNA, 497 nt
Filed under: uncultured bacterium
Lineage: Bacteria
Description: partial 16S ribosomal RNA
Rfam family: Bacterial small subunit ribosomal RNA
Source: RNAcentral